RNAcentral lists this ribosomal RNA (801 nucleotides) under uncultured bacterium. RNAcentral describes it as "bacterial SSU rRNA". It matches the Rfam family "Bacterial small subunit ribosomal RNA", at positions 8 to 796 of the family's 1533-position model. The record is from RNAcentral.
AGAGUUUGAUCAUGGCUCAGAUUGAACGCUGGCGGCAUGCCUAACACAUGCAAGUCGAACGGCAGCAUGAGUAGAGCUUGCUCUACUUGAUGGCGAGUGGCGGACGGGUGAGUAAUAUGUAGGAAUCUACCUAGAGGAGGGGGAUAACUUGGGGAAACUCAAGCUAAUACCACAUAAGCCUUACGGGGGAAAGCAGGGGAUCGCAAGACCUUGCGCCUUAUGAUGAGCCUACAUCGGAUUAGCUAGUUGGUGGGGUAAAGGCCUACCAAGGCGACGAUCCGUAGCUGGUCUGAGAGGAUGAUCAGCCACACUGGGACUGAGACACGGCCCAGACUCCUACGGGAGGCAGCAGUGGGGAAUAUUGGACAAUGGGCGCAAGCCUGAUCCAGCAAUGCCGCGUGUGUGAAGAAGGCCUUAGGGUUGUAAAGCACUUUCAGUGGGGAGGAAGGUAUGCAUGCUAAUAUCAUGUAUAUUUGACGUUACCCACAGAAGAAGCACCGGCUAACUCUGUGCCAGCAGCCGCGGUAAUACAGAGGGUGCGAGCGUUAAUCGGAAUUACUGGGCGUAAAGGGUGUGUAGGUGGAUAGGUAAGUUAGAUGUGAAAUCCCCGGGCUUAACCUGGGAACUGCGUUUAAAACUGCUUGUCUAGAGUAAUGUAGAGGAUAGUGGAAUUUCCAGUGUAGCGGUGAAAUGCGUAGAUAUUGGAAGGAACACCAGUGGCGAAGGCGACUAUCUGGACAGAUACUGACACUGAGACACGAAAGCGUGGGGAGCAAACAGGAUUAGAUACCCUCGUAGUCC